Molecule: ribosomal RNA, 229 nt
Filed under: uncultured bacterium
Lineage: Bacteria
Description: partial 16S ribosomal RNA
Rfam family: Bacterial small subunit ribosomal RNA
Source: RNAcentral
UGCGUAGGUGGUUCGUUAAGUCAGAUGUGAAAGCCCCGGGCUCAACCUGGGAAUUGCAUUUGAUACUGGCAGACUAGAGUGCGGUAGAGGAGAGUGGAAUUCCCGGUGUAGCAGUGAAAUGCGUAGAGAUCGGGAGGAACAUCAGUUGCGAAGGCGGCUCUCUGGACCAGCACUGACACUGAGGCACGAAAGCGUGGGGAGCAAACAGGAUUAGAUACCCUGGUAGUCC